RNAcentral lists this transfer RNA (72 nucleotides) under Bos taurus (domestic cattle). It matches the Rfam family "tRNA". From Rfam's summary of the family: Transfer RNA (tRNA) molecules are approximately 80 nucleotides in length. Their secondary structure includes four short double-helical elements and three loops (D, anti-codon, and T loops). Further hydrogen bonds mediate the characteristic L-shaped molecular structure. tRNAs have two regions of fundamental functional importance: the anti-codon, which is responsible for specific mRNA codon recognition, and the 3' end, to which the tRNAs corresponding amino acid is attached (by aminoacyl-tRNA synthetases). tRNAs cope with the degeneracy of the genetic code in two manners: having more than one tRNA (with a specific anti-codon) for a particular amino acid; and 'wobble' base-pairing, i.e. permitting non-standard base-pairing at the 3rd anti-codon position. Lineage: Eukaryota; Metazoa; Chordata; Mammalia; Artiodactyla; Bovidae. The record is from Rfam by way of RNAcentral.
UCCCUGGUAGCUCAGACGGUAAAGCGUCUGCCUAAAACGCGGGAGAUCCAGGUUCGAUCCCUGGGUAGGGAA